Molecule: non-coding RNA, 3751 nt
Organism: Phalacrocorax carbo (great cormorant)
Lineage: Eukaryota; Metazoa; Chordata; Aves; Suliformes; Phalacrocoracidae
Source: RefSeq, a predicted model, not a curated record
CAGUCUGAUUAAAAGGGAACUUCUGAAAGUGAUGUUAACUUAAACAGCACAGCAGCAGCAGAAGGGAAAGGGGAGCACAGAGAUGGAGGAGAGAAUUCAGAGGAGGAGCAGUGGAUUAAUGUCAAGCAACAGUAUGCUCUGAGUUGAAGGAAGAGUACUACCCCAAGGACCACGGAGACAAAAUAGAUGAUCGAUGCCAAAGAAGUCAGGGUGUUAAUUCUUAAUAUAUCCAGGAGAAGGUUUUGAAGCCCUCCAGAAUAUCCUUCCUUUUUCUGAAGAAGUCUGGCUAGUAAAACGGCAGGUCACGCAACACCAUCGACACUUGGUCUGCAGGAUCCCAGACCAUUUCCAAGACCUCCUAUCUGCAAGUCCCACCUGCCCUUGAUGCCUGUGACAGUAGGACCCUUUUUGGAAGGUUUCUAGACCAUCUUUACCACCCUGAGCGUGUUGUGUGAUGUCCCCUCCAGGACAGAUGGGAUGCAUGGGGGAAGCCCAGACCCCUCCAGAGGAAAUCACCGCUGAAUCAUGCUGCAGCUAAAUGCACCUUGGCACAUGCUCCAAAACACGGAGGCACAACCCAACGGCAUCCCCUUUUGCAUUCUUCUGCCUCCUACCCUUCUCCCUUGCUGUGCACCUAUUUAGUUGCUUGAGAGCCGCCCCCAGAGAGCAGGGAAGCAACAUGGAGCUGGGACAGUGUGUCAUCAAGAUAGCUAAUGAUAGCAGAGUAGACAGAGCUAUUUCCAGAAUGAUUAAUACUAUUAGCACAUGCUGAAGCUUAAGGCUGAACACAGUCUUUAGAGAAAUGGGUUUGAUGUAAAAAGUGAAUAAAUGAGACAACUGUCAGGACAAUGAGUGGUGAAUCAAGUGAAGAUCCUUAGUGUGGGAGAUGGAAAGCCCUGCCUGCUGGCCUGUUUUCACUAACGCUGCUGAUAAAAUUCCCAUUGCCCUUCAGGCUGGAGAAAUAGGGCAGCAAUUGUGUGUGGCACAGCGGUAACCCAACUAGCAGGCACCAAGGUUGCUCCCACAACUAAUUAGCCACACGGCACUUUAGCAGGGGCAGAAUGAUGGUAAAACCCUGGGAUCCAAGGCAUUGCUACCCUCACAGCCCAAACUGUGCACCACGGCUCCUGGAGCCUAUUUGGGGGAUCUUUGUACUGCCCUUUACUGUACAUGCCUUAAGUGCUUGCAAAAAUACCAGUCUGAGGGCUCGUCCUGUUGCUGAAUAAAAAGCACGUCUUAAAAGGACCAUCCGAUUUAUACUGUCUUCUCAUAAUCCCCACUCUGGAGGUCUCAAAUGCCAUAAUUGAAAACCCGCUGUUCAUCUUCUGAAAGUCAGGUUUAACCUACUAUAGGCAGCUCCCAGAAGGACAGUAUUUUGCAUAAUCAGUUACAUUGCAGGGAAUAUGUUUAGCAUUUUUCUGUUUUUCUUCUCCUGACACUUUUCUCACAGGAAAGCAGGCAUACAAUAUCUAGCCAUAGCCGAGCAAUACCCUCUUCCCUAAUUCCUUUUUUUAAGCCCAGUCAUCAAAGCUACUUGUUUUCUGAAGAAUAUCGCAUUGUAUGGGCAGUUUUUAAUUUCCUUUUUGAAAAUCUAGUCUUCUCUUUCUUAUGUGAGGUAUCUUGACAAUAGAUGUCUUGAAUGGAUUCACCAAAAUCUGGUGGGUUUUGUUACUUUACAUGUGUGUUUGCAAAGAAGUCAUAUGCUCAGGGUGUUUCUCUGGAGUAGCUAAUUCAUCUUGGACCGAGCCACAUGAUCCCCUUUUCCAGUCUUGCCUUAUGGCCUCUGAGGAAUGUUGCAUUGGCUGCGAGGGAAUUACUAGGUCUUGGCAAGACACGUUAAUAUCCUCGCAAAGACUUGUUAGGGACCAAGACUUCAGCCUCCAACUAUUUCCUCUGAUAAAGCGGAGUAUUCACAGCAGUUCAUUAGUCUUGAAUCACCAGUUUGACUUUGUUUGAGAGAAAUGAAAGCUCCCCACAGACCAGAAGGACUCUGCAAGUAAAGCUGGCUGGUGCUAGCAGGCUUCAAAACAGAAACACAAAGUGUCAGAAUUAGAUAAAUCAGUUCAAGACACUUCAGUCAAGGGCUGGGAAAAUGAAUACCCAGGUGGAAGACAGGUUAUGAAUUAUGGCAACACCUGAUGCACUGGGAUCUGAAAGACUGUCUGUCAGGACAUCUGAAAAGUUGGACUCUUGUAAGUGGGGAUGUAAAUUUGAUGUUUUCUUUCAGAGACCUGCCUAUGUUCAUCCACAAGGUUCAUAGUGGUGACAGAACUACAGUCCCGUUUUAUUACAGCUGUUGUUUUUUAAACACUUUGUUAUCUUUCCAUUCAUGUCCGAAAUUACACUGAUAAUCCUUGAAAGCACCAGAGCAUGAGUAUCAUAUCUGCAGCUGGAUCUCUCUGCUGGGAAGCUAGUUACACAGCAUGGAAAAUAUUUUUGCUAUCUCAUUUUGAAUCAUUGAUAACAACAUCACAAGUGAAGGGACUGUAUUGUUUGUCCAUGAGAUGGGGAGGAACCACUCCUACAGUCCCAGCAUGUCACCGUCCCGAGCACCCGCUUGCAAGGCAGAGUUACGCGUUUUGUAAAUGAGGAGCAGCUUUCUCAAAGCGUGGGGGACGCAGUACCAGUGCAAGUGACAGAGGGUGAAUCACAAAACAGGUCCCUCCAUGCCAGCUUCCCAAAGCACUCAUAUCGCUGAGCUGAGCUUCAGAACAUAGCACGGAGGACACUGUAAAGGCACCUGAGAGGUUGCCCCCAGCAGCAGCUGGCCCCAGCGCUGGAGCACUUGGACUGAGUAAGGGUAUUGGUGAGAUGGUCAGAAAUUCCCAGCUGACUCACGGCCCCAUUUCUUGGCUGCGCACUGGCCUCUUCACACCUCUGGUGUUGGAAAAGGAAGUGAAACAGCCAGUUCUCAUGUAUAUGUUCAACAGCUUUGAAAAGCCCCCUGAUUGUAGAAAAAUGGAGGAGAGCUGCAAGGUCUGGAGCUGGUUUCCUACCUGAAAGCCAUGCAGGAUGCCGGAUCCAUAGCUGCAGUUUGGCUUGACAGAGGGCCAACACCAACACCACCAUUCUCAUCUGCUUUAAUGUCAGCUGAACUUUUGUGUGCCAUUUUCCCAUCCAGCACCAUCCAGGCAUAUAUCAAGGACUAAAGCCCACAAAGCUUUCUGAGGAGCAGUGACACAAAUCGCGAUCUUGUACAGUGCCCUUUGCUGUCACUCAAUCCAUAUUUUUGACACUGGGAUCCAAAUCAGGACCCCGGUUCAGCACCUACACAAGGAUGUGUCCUAUUCCAGCCUCCCUUGGUCUGUGCAUAUCUUUGGAUAGGCACAUGUUUAAAUAACUCACUACAGCCAUGCCUAAGCCUUGACAAAAAGUAUCACAGCAGAAGGACAGAGAACCGGCUCCAUCAACCACACACAAUGAGAUGUGUUCCAGCCAGCCAAUGGGUAAUCCUGUGUGUACGUACCACAAAUCCACAACAUAACUCACUGUCCUGCUUGGCAGGAGAGUGUUAUUGCCUCUCGGGAUACAAGCAUUCCUGAUCAAAGACUAUCCUUAUAGAAUAAAUAAUCAAACCAAACUAAUGCGUGUGUAUGUAUAUAUAUAUAUCAUCCACAUGGAUUUAUAUGACAUGUUGCGUAUGCUAAAGUCAGUCCAUCUGAGGGGAUAGAAACUGAUGGGGAAGUUGUAGCUAUGAGGAAAGAAUGGGAAUUUGCCUGUGAACCUCAGCAUGGCAGAGAGACCGUUCUCA